Molecule: ribosomal RNA, 239 nt
Filed under: uncultured bacterium
Lineage: Bacteria
Description: partial 16S ribosomal RNA
Rfam family: Bacterial small subunit ribosomal RNA
Source: RNAcentral
UACAGAGGGUGCGAGCGUUAAUCGGAAUUACUGGGCGUAAAGCGUGCGUAGACGGUUAUUUAAGUCGGGUGUGAAAGCCCCGGGCUCAACCUGGGAAUUGCGAUGAAGACUGCAAGGCUAGAAUCUGGCAGAGGGGGGUAGAAUUCCACGUGUAGCAGUGAAAUGCGUAGAGAUGUGGAGGAACACCGAUGGCGAAGGCAGCCCCCUGGGUCAAGAUUGACGCUCAUGCACGAAAGCGU